RNAcentral lists this ribosomal RNA (497 nucleotides) under uncultured bacterium. Its description in RNAcentral is "partial 16S ribosomal RNA". It matches the Rfam family "Bacterial small subunit ribosomal RNA", at positions 28 to 507 of the family's 1533-position model. The record is from RNAcentral.
GAUGAACGCUGGCGGCGUGCCUAAUACAUGCAAGUCGAGCGAACGGACGAGAAGCUUGCUUCUCUGAUGUUAGCGGCGGACGGGUGAGUAACACGUGGAUAACCUACCUAUAAGACUGGGAUAACUUCGGGAAACCGGAGCUAAUACCGGAUAAUAUUUUGAACCGCAUGGUUCAAAAGUGAAAGACGGUCUUGCUGUCACUUAUAGAUGGAUCCGCGCUGCAUUAGCUAGUUGGUAAGGUAACGGCUUACCAAGGCAACGAUGCAUAGCCGACCUGAGAGGGUGAUCGGCCACACGGGAACUGAGACACGGUCACGACUCCUACGGGAGGCAGCAGUAGGGAAUCUUCCGAAAUGGGCGAAAGCAUGACGAAGCAACGCCGCGUGAGUGAUGAAGGACUUCGGAUCGUAAAAAUCUGUUAUUAGGGAAGACCAUAUGUGUAAGUAACUGUGCACAUCUUGACGGUACCUAAUCAGAAAGCCACGGCUAAGUACGUG